This 497-nucleotide ribosomal RNA is filed under the name uncultured bacterium. RNAcentral describes it as "partial 16S ribosomal RNA". It matches the Rfam family "Bacterial small subunit ribosomal RNA", at positions 29 to 507 of the family's 1533-position model. The record is from RNAcentral.
AAUGAACGCUGGCGGCAUGCCUAACACAUGCAAGUCGAGCGAACGGACGGGAAGAGUUCUUUUCUGAUGUUGGCGGCGGACGGGUGAGUAACACGUGGAUCGCAUACCUCUAAGACUGGGGUGAUUUCGGGAAGACAGCUCUGCUAACGGAUCAUAUGUUGAACCGCAUGGUUCACAAGUGAUAGACGGUCUUGCUGUCACUUAGAGCUGACUCCGCGCUGCAUUAGCUAGUUGGUAAGGUAACGGCUUACCAAGGCAACGAUGCAUAGCCGACCUGAGAGGGUGAUCGGCCACACUGGAACUGAGACACGGUCCAGACUCCUACGGGAGGCAGCAGUAGGGAAUCUUCCGCAAUGGGCGAAAGCCUGAUGGAGCAACGCCGCGUGAGUGAUGAAGGUCUUCGGAUCGUAAAGCUCUGUUAUUAGGAAAGAAAAUAAGUGGAAGUAACUGUGCACAUCUUGACGGUACCUAAAGAGUAAGCCACGGCUAACUACGUG